Molecule: long non-coding RNA, 204 nt
Filed under: Mytilus galloprovincialis (Mediterranean mussel)
Lineage: Eukaryota; Metazoa; Mollusca; Bivalvia; Mytilida; Mytilidae
Source: RNAcentral
GUUCAGUGAUAUUUGUUUUUCGUUCAAUUUUUGUACAUAAAUAAGGCUGUUAGUUUUCUCAUUUAAAUUGUUUUACAUUGUCAUUUCGGGGUCUUUUAUAUCAGACUAUGCAGUAUCGGCUUUUGCUUAUUGUUGAAGGCCGUAAGGUGACCUUUAAAUGUUAAUGUCGGUGUCAUUUUGGUCUCUUGUGGAGAGCUGUCUCAU